RNAcentral lists this ribosomal RNA (253 nucleotides) under uncultured bacterium. Its description in RNAcentral is "partial 16S ribosomal RNA". It matches the Rfam family "Bacterial small subunit ribosomal RNA", at positions 524 to 776 of the family's 1533-position model. The record is from RNAcentral.
UACGUAGGUGGCAAGCGUUGUCCGGAUUUACUGGGUGUAAAGGGUGCGCAGGCGGAUCUGUAAGUCAGAGGUGAAAUCUCACAGCUCAACUGUGAAACUGCCUUUGAUACUGCAGAUCUUGAGUUCGGGAGAGGUUGAUGGAAUUCCAGGUGUAGCGGUGAAAUGCGUAGAUAUCUGGAAGAACACCAGUGGCGAAGGCGGUCAACUGGCCCGUAACUGACGCUCAGGCACGAAAGCGUGGGUAGCAAACAGG